RNAcentral lists this ribosomal RNA (1242 nucleotides) under metagenome. RNAcentral describes it as "bacterial LSU rRNA". It matches the Rfam family "Bacterial large subunit ribosomal RNA", at positions 1564 to 2815 of the family's 2925-position model. The record is from RNAcentral.
UGAAUACGAGAUGCUACGGCGUCGAAGCAGUGUAUGUCAGACUUCCAAGAAAAGCUCGCAAUGUCAUAAAUAAAGAAUGCUUGUACCAUAACCGACACAGGUGGGUAGGUAGAGUAUACUAAGGGGCGCGAGAUAACUCUCUCUAAGGAACUCGGCAAAAUAACUCCGUAACUUCGGGAGAAGGAGUGCCUUCUUUAAGAAGGUUGCAAUAACAAGAUCCAAGCAACUGUUUAUCAAAAACACAGGUCUCCGCUAAGUCGUAAGACGAUGUAUGGGGGCUGACGCCUGCCCAGUGCCAGAAGGUUAAAGAAGUUGGUUAGCUUUUGCGAAGCUGAUGACUGAAGCCCUGGUGAACGGCGGCCGUAACGAUAACGGUCCUAAGGUAGCGAAAUUCCUUGUCGGGUAAGUUCCGACCCGCACGAAAGGCGUAAUGAUUUGGAUACUGUCUCGGAGAGGGACUCGGUGAAAUAGACUUGUCUGUGAAGAUGCGGACUACCUGCACCAGGACAGAAAGACCCUAUGAAGCUUUACUGUAACUUGAAAUUGAAAUUGGACUUUAUUUGCGCAGUAUAGGUGGAAGGCGUUGAAAGUAAUCUUGCGGGAUUAGUGGAGCCAUCAGUGAGAUACCACUCCUAUAAUGUUAGAUUUCUAACUUUGGAUCAUGAUCUGGUCAAAGAACAGUUUCAGGCGGGCAGUUUGACUGGGGCGGUCGCCUCCCAAAUGGUAACGGAGGCGUACAAAGGUUUCCUCUGAACGGGUAGAAAUCGUAUCUAGAGUGUAAAGGCAUAAGGAAGCUUGACUGUGAGACCUACAAGUCGAGCAGGGACGAAAGUCGGUCUUAGUGAUCUGACGGUGCUGAGUGGAAAGGCCGUCACUCAACGGAUAAAAGUUACUCUAGGAUAACAGGCUGAUCUCCCCCAAGAGUUCACAUCGACAGGGAGGUUUGGCACCUCGAUGUCGGCUCAUCGCAUCCUGGGGCGGUAGUACGUCCCAAGGGUUGGGCUGUUCGCCCAUGAAAGCGGUACGCGAGCUGGGUUCAGAACGUCGUGAGACAGUUCGGUCCAUAUCCGGUGUAGGCGUUAGAAUAUUGAGAGGAGCCUUCUUUAGUACGAGAGGACCGAGAAGGACAUACCUCUGGUGUACCGGUUAUCGUGCCAACGGUAAACGCUGGGUAGCUAUGUAUGGAGAGGAUAACCGCUGAAAGCAUCUAAGUGGGAAGCCCACCUCAAGAUGAGUAUUCUC